This 296-nucleotide ribosomal RNA is filed under the name uncultured bacterium. Its description in RNAcentral is "partial 16S ribosomal RNA". It matches the Rfam family "Bacterial small subunit ribosomal RNA", at positions 775 to 1067 of the family's 1533-position model. The record is from RNAcentral.
GGAUUAGAUACCCUGGUAGUCCACGCCGUAAACGAUGUGUGCUAGCUGUCGGGCUCUUUAGAGUUCGGUAGCGGAGCGAAAGUAUUAAGCACACCGCCUGGGGAGUACGGCCGCAAGGCUAAAACUCAAAGGAAUUGACGGGGACCCGCACAAGCGGUGGAGCAUGUUCUUUAAUUCGAAGCAACGCGAAGAACCUUACCCACUCUUGACAUCUUCCUAGGGACUUUCAGAGAUGAUUGUCUUCGGUUCGGCCGGGGGAAUGACAGGUGCUGCAUGGCUGUCGUCAGCUCGUGCUG